AGUCCUGUAGCUUAGUGGUUAGAGCACUUGCCUUACAAGCUAGCGGAUCUGGGUUUGAUUCCCAGUAGGGCGA
Callorhinchus milii (elephant shark) is the source of this 73-nucleotide non-coding RNA. NCBI's taxonomy places the organism in Eukaryota, Metazoa, Chordata, Chondrichthyes, Chimaeriformes, Callorhinchidae. The record is from the annotation of a RefSeq genome assembly.